AUUGAACGCUGGCGGCAUGCUUUACACAUGCAAGUCGAACGGCAGCGCGGGCUUCGGCCUGGCGGCGAGUGGCGAACGGGUGAGUAAUACAUCGGAACGUGCCCAGUAGUGGGGGAUAGCUCGGCGAAAGCCGGAUUAAUACCGCAUACGACCUGAGGGUGAAAGCGGGGGAUCUUCGGACCUCGCGCUAUUGGAGCGGCCGAUGGCAGAUUAGCUAGUUGGUGGGGUAAAGGCCUACCAAGGCGACGAUCUGUAGCUGGUCUGAGAGGACGACCAGCCACACGGGAACUGAGACACGGCCCAGACUCCUACGGGAGGCAGCAGUGGGGAAUUUUGGACAAAGGGCGAAAGCCUGAUCCAGCAAUGCCGCGUGUGUGAUGAAGGCCUUCGGGUUGUAAAGCACUUUUGGCGGGAACGAAAAGGACUGUGCCAAUACCACGGUUCGAUGACGGUACCCGCAGAAUAAGCACCGGCUAACUACGUG
This 484-nucleotide ribosomal RNA is filed under the name uncultured bacterium. RNAcentral describes it as "partial 16S ribosomal RNA". It matches the Rfam family "Bacterial small subunit ribosomal RNA", at positions 29 to 507 of the family's 1533-position model. The record is from RNAcentral.